RNAcentral lists this non-coding RNA (195 nucleotides) under Candidatus Zhuqueibacterota. Lineage: Bacteria; Pseudomonadati. The record is from RNAcentral.
UUAUGGUCCGGCGUCCCCGGUGGCCGGUCGAGGCCGGCCGCAGGGAAUCCGGUGAGAAUCCGGAACUGUCGCGCAGCGGUGAACGGGAACGAAAGCCGCACGAUCACACUGGAGGCAGGCCUCCGGGAAGUGGCGGCGAGUAGGAGCAGAUGAAAGCCCGUGAGUCCGAAUAUCUGCCGGGGACACCGUCGGGAC